RNAcentral lists this ribosomal RNA (485 nucleotides) under uncultured bacterium. Its description in RNAcentral is "partial 16S ribosomal RNA". It matches the Rfam family "Bacterial small subunit ribosomal RNA", at positions 28 to 507 of the family's 1533-position model. The record is from RNAcentral.
GAUGAACGCUGGCGGCGUGCUUAACACAUGCAAGUCGAACGGGAUCCCAGGGGUGCUUGCACUUUUUGGUGAGAGUGGCGAACGGGUGAGUAACACGUGAGUAACCUGUCCUUUUCUUUGGGAUAAGCAUUCGAAAGGGUGUUUAAUACCUUAUGUUCUGUCUGCCUCGCAUGGGGUGGGUGGGAAAGGCUUUGGCCGGAUUUGGGUGGGCUCGCGGUCUAUCAGCUUGUUGGUGGGGUGAUGGCUUACCAAGGCUUUGACGGGUAGCCGGCCUGAGAGGGUGGUCGGUCACAUUGGGACUGAGAUACGGCCCAGACUCCUGCGGGAGGCAGCAGUGGGGGAUAUUGCACAAUGGGCGAAAGCCUGAUGCAGCGACGCCGCGUGGGGGAUGAAGGCCUGCGGGUUGUAAACUUCUUUUGCUCUGAACAAGGCGUGCCAGUGGGUGUGUUGAGUGUAGGGGUUGAUUAGCGCCGGCUAACUACGUG